UUUCAAAAAAUAUUUUUCCUUGUAGAUUCUCCACCUUCAGAGUUCGUUUUUGAGGGUUGUAUUUUGAUGACCCCAGUUGCAGUGUCUUGUGGCAUCGCUCAUUUAUAUUCCUUGUUCUGCAGCACUAUGGAUCUUCCUCAGAAGAACAUGGAGUUGCUUCUGUGGAACUGGUUAUCUGCCAUGGCCUCAACAAUCCAUAAAUCCAUGCAUGGAGAGGAUUCCCCAUGGUCAGAAGUCAACUUGUACAUCUAGUUAAAAUCCAAGUGCCUUCCUUUGGCCUGGACCUGACCCCACACGCCAUGAGCACACUGCUGUAUUCAGCAAGAGGAGUUUCGAUUUGAAGUGGUUUGUCUUGGAAGCUUCCGCUUGGAGAGGAUUUAUUGAACCAACUUAUGAGAACCUCCCAGCUUUCUGAUUGGUGCCCUGAGCAAUAAAGAGUAAACCCAAUAAACCUCCUGCAAGCAAAUUUCCAUCUCAGAUGUUCUUUCCUUGGGAACCCAAUCUAUGCCCACCACCAACAAAAAUCAUGUCAAACAGUAGGCGCUUCAACAAAUAUCAUUUCAAUAACUAGGUGAGAAUAUGAAGAAGGAAAUAAAUGAAGACACUUACCUUCAUCAUCCCUGGGACAAUAUACAUGAGAGUAAAGAUGGGGAACACAAAAACAGUCAUUAUGGACACAGGUUAAAUAGACUAAAUAAAACUAUAGUCACAGACUGCUUGAUCAGAAAAAUAGUGGAAUAUACCAAUUUGCUCAGACAUGAAGUAUGUUACGAAGAAUGGUGGCUUCAGCAAACAUUUGCUACAGACAAGGGACUACUUUAAUGUACGCCUAUUGUGAAAACGAUUAUAAAGGAUGGUUCUUUCAAGCAGUCCUCUGUUAUUGCAUAUACACAAUCAGAUUAUAAACAUUUUCUGUAAGGCCAUGUUUGAAACAACUCUGUGGAUGUGAAGUUAUAAAAUAACAACAGUGUUCAGUUUGAUUCUUUUGGGACGUGACUCAAUAUGCAGUUUCAGAAGCACAAACUGAACUUCUAAUUAUUACUCAGUGGGCGUGAUCUUAAAGCCCACCGUCUGCCUCUCGGUUGAACUCUCUAAACCGAUAAAAGGGUGCUGUAUUACUGAAGACACAGCACAGGCAAGAAAAACUUUCAGAGCUUCAAGCCAUGAAAAUUGCAUUUCACUUCUGCCCUUUUAAAAGUGUGUAUGAGAUCCAGCCAUAGACAGUCUCACAGCAGAGUCAGCAUGCCUUUCCAGGCUUUACUACCAAGCAAGGGUUUUAUAAUACAGGCAAAUUAUAAUGCAGAUAUGUAUUAAAACUGUUGAAUGAGGACAAUUUGUACCUUGUACUUUCCAAGAAUUUUUCCAAGAGACUUUUGUUCUUUUUUGUUACAGAUCUAGGCAAAAUUAAAUAAAAGUUGAUAGCUUGAGGAAACAAACUUUACAAAAGGCAAGCUAAUUAAAAUAUU
Molecule: long non-coding RNA, 1466 nt
Organism: Herpailurus yagouaroundi (jaguarundi)
Lineage: Eukaryota; Metazoa; Chordata; Mammalia; Carnivora; Felidae
Exons: 5
Source: RefSeq, a predicted model, not a curated record